GAUGAACGCUGGCGGCGUGCCUAAUACAUGCAAGUAGAACGCUGAAGGAGGAGCUUGCUCUUCUGGAUGAGUUGCGAACGGGUGAGUAACGCGUAGGUAACCUGCCUGGUAGCGGGGGAUAACUAUUGGAAACGAUGGCUAAUACCGCAUGACAACAGUUAUUGCAUGAUAACUGUUUAAAAGGGGCAACUGCUCCACUACCAGAUGGACCUGCGUUGUAUUAGCUAGUUGGUGAGGUAACGGCUCACCAAGGCGACGAUACAUAGCCGACCUGAGAGGGUGAUCGGCCACACUGGGACUGAGACACGGCCCAGACUCCUACGGGAGGCAGCAGUAGGGAAUCUUCGGCAAUGGACGGAAGUCUGACCGAGCAACGCCGCGUGAGUGAAGAAGGGUUUCGGAUCGUAAAGCUCUGUUGUAAGAGAAGAACGAGUGUGAGAGUGGAAAGUUCACACUGUGACGGUAUCUUACCAGAAAGGGACGGCUAACUACGUG
Molecule: ribosomal RNA, 495 nt
Filed under: uncultured bacterium
Lineage: Bacteria
Description: partial 16S ribosomal RNA
Rfam family: Bacterial small subunit ribosomal RNA
Source: RNAcentral